Molecule: ribosomal RNA, 1372 nt
Filed under: uncultured bacterium
Lineage: Bacteria
Description: bacterial SSU rRNA
Rfam family: Bacterial small subunit ribosomal RNA
Source: RNAcentral
GAUGAACGCUGGCGGCGUGCCUAAUACAUGCAAGUCGAGCGAACGGACGAGAAGCUUGCUUCUCUGAUGUUAGCGGCGGACGGGUGAGUAACACGUGGAUAACCUACCUAUAAGACUGGGAUAACUUCGGGAAACCGGAGCUAAUACCGGAUAAUAUUUUGAACCGCAUGGUUCAAAAGUGAAAGACGGUCUUGCUGUCACUUAUAGAUGGAUCCGCGCUGCAUUAGCUAGUUGGUAAGGUAACGGCUUACCAAGGCAACGAUGCAUAGCCGACCUGAGAGGGUGAUCGGCCACACUGGAACUGAGACACGGUCCAGACUCCUACGGGAGGCAGCAGUAGGGAAUCUUCCGCAAUGGGCGAAAGCCUGACGGAGCAACGCCGCGUGAGUGAUGAAGGUCUUCGGAUCGUAAAACUCUGUUAUUAGGGAAGAACAUAUGUGUAAGUAACUGUGCACAUCUUGACGGUACCUAAUCAGAAAGCCACGGCUAACUACGUGCCAGCAGCCGCGGUAAUACGUAGGUGGCAAGCGUUAUCCGGAAUUAUUGGGCGUAAAGCGCGCGUAGGCGGUUUUUUAAGUCUGAUGUGAAAGCCCACGGCUCAACCGUGGAGGGUCAUUGGGAACUGGAAAACUUGAGUGCAGAAGAGGAAAGUGGAAUUCCAUGUGUAGCGGUGAAAUGCGCAGAGAUAUGGAGGAACACCAGUGGCGAAGGCGACUUUCUGGUCUGUAACUGACGCUGAUGUGCGAAAGCGUGGGGAUCGAACAGGAUUAGAUACCCUGGUAGUCCACGCCGUAAACGAUGAGUGCUAAGUGUUAGGGGGUUUCCGCCCCUUAGUGCUGCAGCUAACGCAUUAAGCACUCCGCCUGGGGAGUACGACCGCAAGGUUGAAACUCAAAGGAAUUGACGGGGACCCGCACAAGCGGUGGAGCAUGUGGUUUAAUUCGAAGCAACGCGAAGAACCUUACCAAAUCUUGACAUCCUUUGACAACUCUAGAGAUAGAGCCUUCCCCUUCGGGGGACAAAGUGACAGGUGGUGCAUGGUUGUCGUCAGCUCGUGUCGUGAGAUGUUGGGUUAAGUCCCGCAACGAGCGCAACCCUUAAGCUUAGUUGCCAUCAUUAAGUUGGGCACUCUAAGUUGACUGCCGGUGACAAACCGGAGGAAGGUGGGGAUGACGUCAAAUCAUCAUGCCCCUUAUGAUUUGGGCUACACACGUGCUACAAUGGACAAUACAAAGGGCAGCGAAACCGCGAGGUCAAGCAAAUCCCAUAAAGUUGUUCUCAGUUCGGAUUGUAGUCUGCAACUCGACUACAUGAAGCUGGAAUCGCUAGUAAUCGUAGAUCAGCAUGCUACGGUGAAUACGUUCCCGGGUCU